RNAcentral lists this long non-coding RNA (504 nucleotides) under Rattus norvegicus (Norway rat). Its description in RNAcentral is "long non-coding RNA NONRATT014915". Lineage: Eukaryota; Metazoa; Chordata; Mammalia; Rodentia; Muridae. The record is from RNAcentral.
GUUAGCGCUCUACGUGUAUGAAUAUCUGCUCCAUGUAGGAGCUCAGAAAUCGGCCCAGACAUUUUUAUCAGAGAUAAGAUGGGAAAAAAACAUCACAUUGGGGGAGCCGCCAGGAUUCUUACAUUCUUGGUGGUGUGUGUUUUGGGAUCUCUACUGUGCAGCUCCAGAGAGACGGGAAACCUGUGAACACUCGAGCGAAGCAAAAGCCUUCCAUGAUUAUGUAAGAGAACAUACACUUGAAGACAAAGUGUCAUUGCCAGGUUUUAUUUUCUAAUCACUGCACUUAAAAGACAUAUUGGGCCACUUAACUUUUUUCUGUGGUACUUAAGAGCUGUGCCUGUAUAUCUCAUAAUUUAAAACAGCAGCAGAAAAGGAUGUUGAUGUUUGCUGAAACAGCGCAGAGUGGGACUGAGUCCCAGCAUGAAAGGCACUCACCCUUAGGCGUAUGUGACUCAUACAUGCAGAUAUAUGCAACUUUGUAAUCACAGUCUGUCCAAAUUCACC